RNAcentral lists this ribosomal RNA (482 nucleotides) under uncultured bacterium. Its description in RNAcentral is "bacterial SSU rRNA". It matches the Rfam family "Bacterial small subunit ribosomal RNA", at positions 28 to 505 of the family's 1533-position model. The record is from RNAcentral.
GAUGAACGCUAGCGGCAGGCUUAACACAUGCAAGUCGAGGGGCAGCGUGGAGCAGCAAUGCUCUGACGGCGACCGGCGGAAGGGUGCGUAACACGUGAGCGACUUGCCCGUCACAGGGGGAUAACCGGCGGAAACGGCGACUAAUACCCCAUACGAUGUGAUGCUGCAUGGCAUUGCAUUGAAAGAUUCAUCGGUGGCGGAUAGGCUCGCGGGACAUUAGCUAGACGGCGGGGCAACGGCCCACCGUGGCGACGAUGUCUAGGGGUUCUGAGAGGAAGGCCCCCCANACUGGGACUGAGACACGGCCCAGACUCCUACGGGAGGCAGCAGUGAGGAAUAUUGGUCAAUGGGCGAAGCCUGAACCAGCCAUGCCGCGUGAAGGACUAAGGCCCUACGGGUCGUAAACUUCUUUAGACGCAGAGCAAUAAGGUCCACGCGUGGACCGAUGAGAGUAUGCGUAGAAUAAGCAUCGGCUAACUCCG